CCCAUGAUGUUCAGUCCCUUUCCACAACGUUGGAGAUGAAGCUAGUUUUUGUGUCUGUGCCUGCAUAUUCCUAUAACUUCCCAGAGUCCUGUGGACGAUGACUGGGGAGACAGACCAUGCAGGGAACAGUC
RNAcentral lists this small nucleolar RNA (131 nucleotides) under Nannospalax galili (Upper Galilee mountains blind mole rat). Its description in RNAcentral is "Small nucleolar RNA SNORA73 family (ENSNGAG00000003345.1)". It matches the Rfam family "Small nucleolar RNA SNORA73 family", at positions 72 to 219 of the family's 219-position model. Rfam says of the family: U17 (SNORA73A and SNORA73B) also known as E1 belongs to the H/ACA class of small nucleolar RNAs (snoRNAs). Vertebrate U17 is intron-encoded and ranges in length from 200-230 nucleotides, longer than most snoRNAs. Lineage: Eukaryota; Metazoa; Chordata; Mammalia; Rodentia; Spalacidae. The record is from RNAcentral.